RNAcentral lists this unclassified non-coding RNA (173 nucleotides) under soil metagenome. RNAcentral's name for it is "partial internal transcribed spacer 1". The record is from RNAcentral.
CAAGAAGCCGAAAGGCUACUUAAAACCAUCGCGAACUUAUCCAAGUUGCUUCGGCGGCGCGGCCCCCCUCACGGGGGACCGCAGCCCCCGCCUCUCGGGAGGUAAGGGGCAGCCGCCGGAGGUACGAAACCCUGUAUUAUAGUGGUAUCUCUGAGUAUAAAACAAAUAAGUUA